UACGUAGGGGGCAAGCGUUGUCCGGAAUCAUUGGGCGUAAAGCGCGUGUAGGCGGUUACGUGAGUCUGCUGUGAAAGUCGGAGGCUCAACCUUCGAAAGCCGGUGGAUACUGUGUGACUAGAGUUCGGAAGAGGAGAGUGGAAUUCCUGGUGUAGCGGUGAAAUGCGCAGAUAUCAGGAGGAACACCAACGGCGAAGGCAGCUCUCUGGGACGAUACUGACGCUGAGACGCGAAAGCGUGGGGAGCAAACAGG
Molecule: ribosomal RNA, 253 nt
Filed under: uncultured bacterium
Lineage: Bacteria
Description: partial 16S ribosomal RNA
Rfam family: Bacterial small subunit ribosomal RNA
Source: RNAcentral